Molecule: small nuclear RNA, 198 nt
Organism: Hypanus sabinus (Atlantic stingray)
Lineage: Eukaryota; Metazoa; Chordata; Chondrichthyes; Myliobatiformes; Dasyatidae
Product: U2 spliceosomal RNA
Exons: 1
Source: RefSeq, a predicted model, not a curated record
AUAAAUAUAUGAAAAACCAACAAAUAAAAAAUAAACAUUAAAAAAUCUGUUCUUAUCAGUUUAAUAUCUGAUACAUCCCUUAUCUGGGGACAAUAUAUUAAAUUGAUUUUUGGAACAGGGAGCUGGAAUAGUAGCUUGCUCCGUCUGCUCUGCGUAUCAACCCGGUAUUGUAGUGCCUUCGGGAACAGUGCACCUCCC